This is a non-coding RNA of Massospora cicadina, 81 nucleotides long. NCBI's taxonomy places the organism in Eukaryota, Fungi, Entomophthoromycota, Entomophthoromycetes, Entomophthorales, Entomophthoraceae. The record is from the annotation of a GenBank genome assembly.
UGGGCGUUUAUCCUAAUGGUAAGCCGCUUGGCUGUAAACUAAGUGGUUCAUCCAUCCUCAGUUCUAUUCUGAGACGCCCAA